This 474-nucleotide unclassified non-coding RNA is filed under the name Hevea brasiliensis (rubber tree). Lineage: Eukaryota; Viridiplantae; Streptophyta; Magnoliopsida; Malpighiales; Euphorbiaceae. The record is from RNAcentral.
GCAGCGGCAUCGGUUUUGGCAACCACACUUUCGUUUUCUGUGAUUGCUCAAGAAAGGAAAAAGAAAAGGAAAGUUGGAACUUCCGUAUUCUAUUUCUAUCAUCUCCUUCAGUAUAUAUAGCUUAUUUCUUGCAUGAUGAUGAGAACUCCAGAUAAAAUCAAGAACUUACAUCUUGUUUAUUGACAGAAGCAACUGCAAAAUUUGCAGCAACUUCUGUAAAGACAGGUGGUGAUGGUGCAUGAGAAACCUUGCCAGCAAAGUUCUUUUCACCUAACGUGCACUUGCCUCCUGGAACAUACGUGGUGCAUGACCCAUGAGAUGGAGUCACCGGACCCCUUAGAGAUUGGAUUACAAAAUUUUUAUCUCCUUCUAAAGGCCUCGCACCCAACAUUUCUUGAAAGCAGGAAGCAAAAAGGAGGGAAACAAUGAGCAAACGGCAACUCAUUUUGUAACAAGAAAUGAAAACAAUAUAUU